AUAUCUACUGGGGGUGGGGGGAGAUACCAUCAUCACAAAGGUGAUUUUCCCAGGGUGCGGCUCCCCUAUUACACUGCGGGUGUAGUGGCCUUUGCGAUGCGGGACACUCCACUGCAGCAUUGGUGGCAAUGGGGGAUGCGCGCGCACGCUCCCCUG
Chrysemys picta bellii (western painted turtle) is the source of this 156-nucleotide small nuclear RNA. Its record names the gene U1. It matches the Rfam family "U1 spliceosomal RNA". From Rfam's summary of the family: U1 is a small nuclear RNA (snRNA) component of the spliceosome (involved in pre-mRNA splicing). Its 5' end forms complementary base pairs with the 5' splice junction, thus defining the 5' donor site of an intron. Lineage: Eukaryota; Metazoa; Chordata; Testudines; Emydidae. The record is from Ensembl.